UACGAAGGGGGCUAGCGUUGCUCGGAAUCACUGGGCGUAAAGGGCGCGUAGGCGGCGUGGUAAGUCACUUGUGAAAUCUCUGAGCUUAACUCAGAACGGCCAAGUGAUACUGCUGUGCUAGAGUGCAGAAGGGGCAAUCGGAAUUCUUGGUGUAGCGGUGAAAUGCGUAGAUAUCAAGAGGAACACCUGAGGUGAAGACGGGUUGCUGGGCUGACACUGACGCUGAUGCGCGAAAGCUAGGGGAGCAAACGGG
This 253-nucleotide ribosomal RNA is filed under the name uncultured bacterium. RNAcentral describes it as "partial 16S ribosomal RNA". It matches the Rfam family "Bacterial small subunit ribosomal RNA", at positions 524 to 776 of the family's 1533-position model. The record is from RNAcentral.